RNAcentral lists this ribosomal RNA (249 nucleotides) under uncultured bacterium. Its description in RNAcentral is "partial 16S ribosomal RNA". It matches the Rfam family "Bacterial small subunit ribosomal RNA", at positions 524 to 776 of the family's 1533-position model. The record is from RNAcentral.
GACGUAGGGGCCAGCGUUGUUCGGAAUUACUGGUGUAAAGGGUUCGUAGGCGGUGUGGCAAGUCGGGAGUGAAAUCUCUGGCUCAACUCAGAGACUGCUUCCGAAACUGCUGUGCUGGAGUGUGGGAGAGGCGCGUGGAAUUGCAGGUGUAGCGGUGAAAUGCGUAGAUAUCUGCAGGAACACCCGUGGCGAAAGCGGCGCGCUGGACCACUACUGACGCUGAGGAACGAAAGCGUGGGAGCGAACAGG